This 433-nucleotide ribosomal RNA is filed under the name uncultured bacterium. RNAcentral describes it as "partial 16S ribosomal RNA". It matches the Rfam family "Bacterial small subunit ribosomal RNA", at positions 29 to 507 of the family's 1533-position model. The record is from RNAcentral.
AACGAACGCUGGCGGCAUGCCUAACACAUGCAAGUCGAACGAGACCUUCGGGUCUAGUGGCGCACGGGUGCGUAACGCGUGGGAACCUGCCCUUAGGUUCGGAAUAACUCCUCGAAAGGGGUGCUAAUACCGGAUAAUGUCUUCGGACCAAAGAUUGAUCGCCUUUGGAUGGGCCCGCGUUGGAUUAGCUAGUUGGUAGGGUAAAAGCCUACCAAGGCGACGAUCCAUAGCUGGUCUGAGAGGAUGAUCAGCCACACUGGGACUGAGACACGGCCCAGACUCCUACGGGAGGCAGCAGUGGGGAAUAUUGGACGAUGGGCGAGAGCCUGAUGCAGCAAUGCCGCGUGAGUGAUGAAGGCCUUAGGGUUGUAAAGCUCUUUUACCCGGGAUGAUAAUGACAGUACCGGGAGAAUAAGCACCGGCUAACUCCGUG